This 64-nucleotide transfer RNA is filed under the name Halictus rubicundus. RNAcentral describes it as "tRNA-Pro". Lineage: Eukaryota; Metazoa; Arthropoda; Insecta; Hymenoptera; Halictidae. The record is from RNAcentral.
CAAGAAAUAGUUUAAAUAGAAUAUUAAUUUUGGGGAUUAAAGAUAUUAAGAUUAAUUUUCUUGA